CGGCGUGCUUAACACAUGCAAGUCGAACGCGAAAGGGACUUCGGUCCUGAGUAAAGUGGCGCACGGGUGAGUAACGCGUAGAUAACCUGUCUUCAUGUCUGGAAUAAUACGCCGAAAGGGGUACUAAUACCGGAUAUUCUUGCUUUUCAUAAGUUAUGCAAGCAAAGGUGGCCUCUGCAUAUGCUACUGCAUGAAGAGGGGUCUGCGUACCAUUAGCUAGUAGGUGGGGUAAUGGCCUACCUGGGCGACGAUGGUUAGCGGGUCUGAGAGGAUGAUCCGCCACACUGGCACUGGAACACGGGCCAGACUCCUACGGGAGGCAGCAGUGAGGAAUAUUGCGCAAUGGGGGAAACCCUGACGCAGCGACGCCGCGUGAGUGAAGGAAGGCCUUCGGGUCGUAAAGCUCUGUCAAGAGGAAAGAAGUGUACAAUGGCUAAUACCUGUUGUAUUUGACGGUACCUCUAAAGGAAGCACCGGCUAACUCCGUGCCAGCCGCAGC
RNAcentral lists this ribosomal RNA (499 nucleotides) under uncultured bacterium. RNAcentral describes it as "bacterial SSU rRNA". It matches the Rfam family "Bacterial small subunit ribosomal RNA", at positions 40 to 518 of the family's 1533-position model. The record is from RNAcentral.